Molecule: ribosomal RNA, 460 nt
Filed under: uncultured bacterium
Lineage: Bacteria
Description: partial 16S ribosomal RNA
Rfam family: Bacterial small subunit ribosomal RNA
Source: RNAcentral
CCUACGGGUGGCAGCAGUGAGGAAUAUUGGUCAAUGGUCGGAAGACUGAACCAGCCAAGCCGCGUGCGGGAAGACGGUUCUGAGAAUUGUAAACUUCUUUUGUACGGGAAUAAACGCAGGUACGCGUCCCCGUAUGAGUGUAUCGGAAGAAAAAGCAUCGGCUAACUCCGUGCCAGCAGCCGCGGUAAUACGGAGGAUGCGAGCGUUAUCCGGAUUUAUUGGGUUUAAAGGGUGCGUAGGCGGUAUGUUAAGUUAGAGGUGAAAGCCCGGGGCUCAACCUCGGCAUUGCCGCUGAAACUGGCAGUCUCGAGUGGAGUUGAGGUAGGCGGAAUGCGCGGUGUAGCGGUGAAAUGCUUAGAGAUCAGGCAGAACACCGAUUGCGAAGGCAGCUUGCCGGGCCACCACUGACGCUGAGGCACGAAAGCGUGGGUAUCAAACAGGAUUAGAUACCCGAGUAGUC